This is a long non-coding RNA of Zeugodacus cucurbitae (melon fly), 1335 nucleotides long. RefSeq lists it as uncharacterized. The record is from RefSeq and is a predicted model, not a curated record. The transcript has 2 exons. Lineage: Eukaryota; Metazoa; Arthropoda; Insecta; Diptera; Tephritidae.
UGUAUUAAGCGGAUUUUUCGCCAUAAGAACAUAUUUUAUACUCUCGCAACAUACUUGCUAGCAAUAAAGUUGCUACGAGAGUAUUAUAGUUUUGUCCACAUAACAGUUGGUUGUAUUUCCUAAAACAAAACGUGUUAGAUAUACGGUUAUGUAUAUCAAAAUGAUCACGGUGACGAGUAAAGUUCAAAUCCGGAUGUCUGUCUGUCCGUCCGUCAGUCCGAUCGUCCAUGCAAGCUGUAACUUAAGUAAAAAUUGAGAUAUCUUGAUGAAACUUAGAAGACGUAUUUCUUGGCACCAUAAGAAGGUUAAGUUCGAAGAUGGGCGUAAUCGGACCACUGCCACGUCCACAAAAUGGCAAUAACCGAAAACAUAUAAAAAGCUAUAACUCAGCCAUAAAUUAAGCUAUUGAAGUAAAAUUUGGUAUGAAAGAUCGCACUAUGAGGGGCAUAUGUGGAUGUAAUUUUUUUGGGGAAGUGGGCGUGGCCCCGCCCUUACUAAGUUUUUUAUACAUAUCUCGUAAACUGCUUGAGUUAUAUCAAGGAAACCUUCUAGAGUCGUUUCUUUUCAGUACUACCUUAUGCAGUCCAAAAAUGAAAGAAAUCGGAUCUAACCUCAUAACUUCGAUUUAUAAUAUCUUCCUAGCUUCCAAAUGAUAUGUUGUGAAAAUAGUCCAAAUCGGAUCACAACCAUGCCUACUUCCCACAGACCAGAACUUUGAAGUCGAUCUGAAUCGUGUUCUUUACAAUAUAUGUAUAAAUGUGUCAUCUACCUUCUUAAAAUCGUCGAAAUCGGACCAUAAAUUUUCAAGGCCCCAUAUAGCGAACAUGAAGACCUCAGUGGUUCUAAUUUUUUUUUCAGUUACACCCGAACUUAGCCCUUCCUUACUUGUUUUAAUUAAAUAUAUGAUGUCGAGAGCAACUACCUGGCUUCGGACCUGAGUUCAAUACCACACCUGGGCUUAGUCCCUAAUCCGAUAGUUCGACAGGAAUCGCUCUUCAGCAGAAUACAGCGAAACAUUGAGCGUAUGUCUGCCACGAACUAUACUCUUAAUUCUAAUAUAUGAGGAUGUCAUAAGAAUUCUAUAUAAAACUUUUGGUAGUAGAAAGAGAAUGCAUGCAAUUUAUACAGUUCAAAACUGAUUCGUAAUUCGUCUGUUAUGUAGUACAUGUAAACACUCAUCGUAGAACUGUGAAGUGUGUGUAAGUGAAAGAUUUAGAAAAUUCCGAAAAAAGAGCACGACUUUAAUAUCUUAUACCCUGUCAAAAAUUAACUUAGGUAAUUAUAUGUCGCUGUGAUAAGAACAUAAUACAGAUUUGAGCUUCUAACAAGCAUUCA